RNAcentral lists this ribosomal RNA (301 nucleotides) under uncultured bacterium. Its description in RNAcentral is "partial 16S ribosomal RNA". It matches the Rfam family "Bacterial small subunit ribosomal RNA", at positions 509 to 807 of the family's 1533-position model. The record is from RNAcentral.
CAGUCGCCGCGGGAAUACGGAGGGUGCAAGCGUUAAUCGGAAUUACUGGGCGUAAAGCGCACGUAGGCGGUUAUUUAAGUCAGGGGUGAAAUCCCGCAGCUCAACUGCGGAACUGCCUUUGAUACUGGGUAUCUUGAGUAUGGAAGAGGUUAGUGGAAUUGCGAGUGUAGAGGUGAAAUUCGUAGAUAUUCGCAGGAACACCAGUGGCGAAGGCGGCUAACUGGUCCAUAACUGACGCUGAGGUGCGAAAGCGUGGGGAGCAAACAGGAUUAGAUACCCCAGUAGUCCCUGUCUCUUAUAC